GGACCUCGGGGUGGUCCCCGAGCUGGGCUGUGCCUCCGGGGACCUCGGGGUGGUCCCCGAGCUGGGCUGUGCCUCCGGGGACCUUGGGGUGGUGAUCCCUGAGCUGGACAGUGUCUCCCUGAACCUCUGGGCGACCGCGCCAUCUCAGGCAGCCUCUGCCUCUGCUGGGAGAAGCCAUGGCCCCUGGGAGAGGCUAGAAGCCCUGGGGACACAUUGUUUUGGGUGUCCCUGACAGGGACUAUCAUGGGAGCAUUUCUGGCUAUGGGCACCAUCCUUGUCCAUUCCAGAGUGCUCUGCAUAGUGGCAGACACCCUGAAGCCUGGUGACCCCUGGGCUCUGGCAGGGAAACCCGGGUCGUGGGGAUGUGAAAGGGUGAGGUGUCAGUGCCCCGACCCCUUGCCUUUUAAAGGAGGGCCCUCCUGGACCCGGGAACGGACCCUGGUGGCGGUGAAGCCAGAUGGGGUGCAACGGCGGCUCGUUGGGGACGUCAUCCAGCGCUUUGAGAGGCGGGGCUUCACGCUGGUGGGGAUGAAGAUGCUGCAGGCACCAGAGAGCGUCCUUGCCGAGCACUACCAGGACCUGCGGAGGAAGCCCUUCUACCCUGCACUCAUCCGCUACAUGAGCUCUGGGCCCAUGGUGGCCAUGGUCUGGGAAGGGUACAAUGUCGUCCGCGCCUCCAGGGCCAUGAUUGGACACACUGAUUCGGCUGAGGCUGCCCCAGGAACCAUAAGGGGUGACUUCAGCGUGCACAUCAGCAGGAACAACUACCUCUGUCAGCAAGAACCCAAGCCCACAUCCAUCCCUGCCUAUCCCAAACCACUUACUUCCCUGUUCACCUCUGCCCCAGCCCAGCCCAGAGGAGUUUCAGCCACCAACUUCAGUGCCUUUCUGAACCCCAAGCCAGCACAAGAUUGGACCAAUCCGUUUUGCACCGAAGUGCCAGACAGCCUUUGUGGUGGGGGGGUCUUCGCAAGUUAUCCUAACCUUUCCUCCAAAGGGGAGGCAUUAAAAUUCACUGUGCCCAGCACAUGGGUGGUACAUUAAUUAUGACUUCCGCCAACUGAGGUAGAAAUGACGCUUUUAUGCAAGUUGUAAAGAGUUGAAGAGUAAAGAUGAAGUUUUUGAGACUCCAUCUCAAAAAAAAAAAAAAAAAAAAAAAAAAAA
This is an RNA transcript of Mandrillus leucophaeus (drill), 1164 nucleotides long. It is a transcript of the gene named NME/NM23 nucleoside diphosphate kinase 4, with no coding region annotated. The transcript is spliced from 5 exons. NCBI's taxonomy places the organism in Eukaryota, Metazoa, Chordata, Mammalia, Primates, Cercopithecidae. The record is from RefSeq and is a predicted model, not a curated record.